ACACACUUAUCUCAGUGGCCAGAGCACCCUUCUAGGGUUUGAGGUAAAAUAAAUCAUGGGUUCAAAUCCCAUAGUGCAUA
This 80-nucleotide transfer RNA is filed under the name Cronartium comandrae C4. RNAcentral's name for it is "tRNA-Leu (CAA) (tRNA-Leu-CAA-4-1)". The record is from RNAcentral. Lineage: Eukaryota; Fungi; Basidiomycota; Pucciniomycetes; Pucciniales; Coleosporiaceae.